RNAcentral lists this long non-coding RNA (331 nucleotides) under Mytilus galloprovincialis (Mediterranean mussel). Lineage: Eukaryota; Metazoa; Mollusca; Bivalvia; Mytilida; Mytilidae. The record is from RNAcentral.
UCCGGUUCUGAAAAUAGUUUACCUGUCACCUGAACAGGUAGAUUUCAGGCUUCACCGAUUUAAGCUGUCCAACAACUAAUUAGCCUUGAUUAAAAUUAGAAAGUAUUGAAGUAGGGGUUGUUUUGAUAGUAAUUAAUCAUCAUGUCACUUUUAUGACCGGAAAUGUGUGGCUGUUAAAGGCAAAAGGCUGUUAAAGAUCGUGAAUUAUGUAAAAAUGACCGAAAAAACCUUGAUAUCUAAAUAGUAAAAGACCGUUUCAUGCUUUUCCCAGCCGGACUUUUAACGGACAUUAUACAAUUGUCCGGAAUAUAUGACCGUUUUGGAAGCCUUG